GCCUCCUGCCAUUUCUGCUG
Molecule: unclassified non-coding RNA, 20 nt
Filed under: Mus musculus (house mouse)
Lineage: Eukaryota; Metazoa; Chordata; Mammalia; Rodentia; Muridae
Description: oocyte_clustered_small_RNA13690
Source: RNAcentral